AUUCACUUUCUCAGAUGUCUUGUUUUACCAUAAACAAUGUCAUUGGCAUUUGGCGCCCACUAAACAAACUUACUCGUUUUUCAUAUACAGUGGUUAUAUAUCUCCAGAAUAUGCAAUGCACGGAUACUUUUCUGUGAAAUCCGAUGUGUUUAGUUUCGGAAUUAUGGUUCUAGAGAUUAUUAGUGGAAAGAGGAAAGGUUGUUCUGCUGAAUCAGAGUGCGUUGAUGACAUCCGAAGAUAUGUGAGUACAAAAUUUCUUAGACUUCUCUUUAUAGAGUUGAAAGAAUGAUUUUCUUCAUUAACAAAUGAAAACGAAUACUUUAGGCUUGGAAAAAAUGGGCAGAGCAAACGCCGUUGGAACUGGUGGAUCCUCAUAUAGAAGGAACUUAUUCUCAAGAAGAAGUCAUCAAGUACAUCCACAUUGGUUUAUUAUGUGUUCAGGAAGUUCCAGAAGAAAGACCUACAAUGGCAACAAUUGCAUUCUACCUCAACAGCCCUUCAAUCAACUUGCCAUCACCUCUCGAACCUCCAUAUUUUAAGCGUAGUGGAAUUGAAGAAAACACGACCCAGAUCAAAGAAUUGGACAUUAUCAGUGAUUCCACCAAUGGAAUCACUUGACUACAUUCUUUCCUCGUUAAGACAUAGGUGAAAAUCGUUUUCGUUGUAUCAGUAAUAUUAUCUACUGUUACAUAAUGAUUAUAGACCACAUAAUUGAAGCAUAUGAUAUACCCUUGGAAUAAACUUUCCAAGAGUUUGGAAACAGACAAUGUUAAAUUAUAACAUACACUAGAGUACAUUAUCUUCAAAUAAAAAUAAUUGUUAAACUCAUAGAAUCGGGGAAGAGUUUUUUGUUUUUUUUUUAACUAUGUUAUUGGUGUAAAGUAUCCCCUGAUGACUAAUCACCGUCAGGAAUUGCUUGACCACUUUUAGUAGGGUCUCCUCUCUGGGCCACAAUUUUUCAAACUACAACGCUCAAACACAAUACCUUAUUCAAGGAAUAUGAGUCAAAUUCUACUUGGAGCAACGUAAUGUUGGUGAGGAAGAACGUUUGAAUACAAAAUCUAUGGAAAUCUACCAUAAACCAAGAACUUCGCAAAUAGGAAAAUAAAAGGCAGUAAGCAAAAUCUGUAUGGAUAUUUUGAGAGACAAUUUAUCAAACAGUUGUGGGCUGUAAAGUAUGGUUAGCAAAAUGAAACAGGACUAUUGUUGUCAACAUAUAUUACGGAUUAUCUUGGUGUUAGAAUUUAUGAUUGAGAAUGAGAAAUCACCUGGGCGCAUCUCGUAAACUGAACUAUCUCAAGACCACGUGAAUGAUGGAUGAUUGCAACUGCCAAGCUCUUUUGAAUUAAAUGACAUUCCCUCUCAUUUUCAGAUUUUAAUUAUGUGAAUUGAUUCGUCUAAAGUAUUUCAAUGAUAAUUCCGAUUGUUUGGUCUAAUAAUAAAAAGACAUCUCUUUAUAAAUAUUCAAUUAAUCUUAAAGUCUUUUUACUUUGUGCUGAGCAUAAUCCAUUUGAGCAAUUAGAACAUAAUAAACAAUAAUAUGUAUAGGCAUAGAUUAAACGAGUUAUUUUAAGAAUUACAUGAUAAUCAUCUUAUAACAAUCUCAAUUACACUUGAUUUAUUUUAAGAAAUUUUUUAUAACUUAUUUAAUUUGAAAAAGAAAAAUAAAGCAUUCCCUCAUUUUCCCUUCAAAAUCCAACUUAUAAAGAUACCCUAAGGUAUGAUCUCAAUACACAUAAACAUAGUUACUGCUACAUAAUCCCUCCCGUAUGAAAUAUAAAAAAAAAUGUCAUAAUUUAAAAAUUGAUAUAUCUAAUCUAAAUCUAAAUUUUAAGUAAAUACAUGAAUCUUUUGCUAUCAUUUUUACCUUAACCACUGCGUACAACAGCAAAUUCCGUAGGUGCUCAUUGGUCCAAAUCCCAAUUUCCUCCUCCUAUUGUCGCAACCUCCUGCAUACUACAUCAGACCAUACACACUCCUAACAAACAAAGUUAAUCUUAUCCAACUUUGAUUCUUUUUAAUUACUUUGCUGCAUUUUUCCAAUAUCAACAGACCAUAAGCAAUAAAUAUCAGCAAGGACUGAAUUUGUUAAGAAGCUAAGACAUAAACAAUAAAUAUCUGAUCAUGUGUCUUUAAGAUUUUCAGUAACUUAGUGUGCACAUCUUAAAAAAGGUUAACACACCUGGAGUAUUUCACCUAACUGAGUGUGCACAUCUCAUUAAUAUGUGAGUAAAUACAAAAAAAUGAACAAACUCCACAAGUUUACAAAAUUAUGCAUUUCAUAUACAUUCAAUAACAACACUCUAUGUCUCACUUUUCUCUGUUCUCUAGCCUCUUUCUCUCUUGUCACUUCUUCUCUCACCCAAACAUACAACUAGUAUCUGCUACUUCUUUACUCAAGUUUUGUGAAAAUGAUCUUUAUACUUUCCAUAAACUUCUAAAAUAGUAUAUUUAGUUUAUAAAAUUGAACACUUUUACCCUUCAAAACUUGAAUUUUAUCUUGUAUUCCAUUUUAGUUUGAAAAUGACAAAAAACCAAAUAUAAAGCUGGCUUCCGUGUUUCAUGGAUUUGCAUCCAUAUGUCCCUCAGUCCCUCUUAUCCAUGUUAAACUCAAUUUACUAACAAAUUUGAAGUAUAGACUUUAGUAUAUCUCAAAUGCCAAAUCUACAAAUACACAAAUUUAACAAAAUACAAACGGCAAAGCAACUGUGUUAUUGGUAGCUAGUGCAUGCUCUUAAAAAAUUUCAAACUCAUCCAUGGCUUGCCACAUCGAACUAGCUAGUCUUCCUCUUUCCCCUUUCACCAUCUUCUUCAAUUUUGCAACCCCAAGAACCUAAUUUUCUCUAUCAAGUUUGCUCAAAAAACAGAUUCACGGCCAACAGCACCUACCAAGUAAACCUCAAACUCAUGUUUUUUUAUUUUUUUUUAUCUUCUAACCCAACCGGAAACACCCAAUUCUUCAACAACACUCUCAGUGAAUUUUUUUUCAAACAAAGUUCAUGGAUUAUUCAUGUGCAGCGGUGACAUCCCCUCCCAGCUAUGUACUUCGUGUGUUCCAAACACAAACAAGCAACUUAUCACAAAGACAUGGCGCUCUUUGUCCGUUACAGCAGUUAUGUGGUACAUGCACGGUUCGGUAUUCCAACAAUUCUUUCUUAUCCACCAUGGCCACAGGACCUGACUUUGUUCUUUUAAAUAUUUUAAAAAUAAACAAACAAAUUUAAGGUCAUGAUGACGAGGAGGAGCAGAAGAUGUAAAAGGGUCACUUGGGUUGAAAAAAAUAAAUAUAUAGUUGGUGUGUGACAUAUGGCUUUUUGGUGUGUGUCAAAAAUUUUGUCCUCAAGCAAAAGCAGCCAAGAUUGUUUCAUAAUUGAAGUGGGUUGAUACUUGAUGUUUUCCCAUGGCUUUUUGAAGGUGGUGGGGAGUAUAAAAUGAUUGAGUGGAAAUAGCAACAUGUAUAGAAAACAAAAAUUUGCGAUAAAGAUUGAAUCAAGGGAAUGAAAAUGAAUAAAUACCUAGUGGGUUGGGCUAGUAUAAUCAUAACUAUUACAUUAAUUAAUAAUGAUCAUUUAACUAAAUCUUUAAAGCAUACAAAAGGAAACAUAUGUAUCAGCCUCCUCAUCCCCCUUGAGAAGUAUGGGUUCCUUCCAUUUUCUGUUUUCACUCUCAACUUUAUUUUGCCUCUUUAGUCAUUGUUCUCCUUCUCCCAUCAUACAAGCUGCUACUGAUAAUGUUACACAUGCUUACUAUAACUGCACAAGGAACACUACUGCUACCAAUAAUGCUUACCGUUCCAACAUCCAAACACUCUUAAAAUGGAUCUCUUCCAAUAGCACUAACAAUGCAAGAUACUACAACACCACAGUUAAUAGCCAAAACACUGCAGACACUGUCUAUGGUUUCUUCCUUUGCAUUAGAGACACUGAUCCCAAAAUCUGUCAGUCGUGUGUGAUAGAAGCAGCCAAACUCAUAUCAUCAUUGUGCACCACAUCAAUAGAAGCCAUAGUUUGGUACACAGUAUGCUAUGUACGGUAUUCUGACCGUUGCUUCUUUUCCACCGUGGAGAAAAGUCCAGAAAUUUCUUUCAUGAAUGAUAAGGAUUAUGUGGGUGAGGUUGAGCGCUUCAACAACAUUGUCUGGGAUAUGUUGAACGAUUUGAGAAGUGAGGCAGCAAAUGCUUCUUCUAAAUUGGCUGACAAGUCAGUGAACAUCACAGCACACCAGAAACUAUAUGGCUACGCUUGGUGCACCCCAUACCUAUCAGCAGAAAAUUGCAGCUGGUGUCUUAGUGAUGCCAUAGCAGAAGUUCCAACCAGUUGCUGCCGAGGAAAAUCUGGAGGCUCAAUAAUAUAUCCUAGUUGUGGUGUUAGAUUCGAAUUAUAUCCAUUCCACAAGGCACACAGCAAUAAUGCUUGGGUACGACCACCCCCACUGCCAACAAGUCCUCUUCCUUCAGCUCCUCCAGGUUUAAGCUUUUGAUUGUCCCUCAUAUACAUUUUCUUAAUUAUACUACCAUUUCUGACACAAUAAGACAGCAAUCGAGUUAUUUUCAUACCACUUAUUACUGUCAACUCAUGACCUAUCUAGCAAGAGAUGUAUCUUUUGGAAUAACUUGGUACAUUGAGAACAGGAAUUUAAAUCACCAAUAAUCUUUUCCUAUCCCUCUAAUGAAAAUAUAAAUAGUCCAUCAAUAUUUUAACAACUAGGAGAGGGUGCUAGCAUUGAAGAGACAAACAUUUCUGGUAGGUGUUGCAUACUAGAAUCAAUUAGGUAAAACCAUAUAGAAUUAUGGCUUUUCAAAUGGAAUUAAUUAGCACCUUUGAAUAAGCAUAAUAUUGAAGACAAAUCAGCUUUAAAUUACAAUCAAAAUAUCUCUAUUAUUAUUUUGAUUAUUAUAAUUAUUAUCUUUCCUGAACAUACAAUAAGCAAAUCCAAAGAUGCAGCUAACAGUAAAAUUCCAAUUUUUUCAUUUACAUAACAGGGGGUAAUAUUUAAAAUUUUCAGACUUAAAAGAAACAAAAGGAGGAAAAAGAAUUUGUAAAUUACAUAUUGUCUACAUUCAUAGUACAUGUUACCAACCCCUAAGCUCUGUUUUCUUUCUUUUCAUCAUUCAAGAGAAAUAGUUCAAACGAUAAAAUUCUUACAGGUUUAAGAAACAUAUGUUGCUUAGGUACAUAACCAUUUUUAAUGGCAAACUGAAAAUGACACAAGGUACUGAUAUUGUUGCAGGAAAAGAAAAACAGAAGACACUAAUAUCAAUUGUGAUCGUUGUUCCAGUUGUUGUAUCACUGGUGCUUUCAGUCUUGGGUUGCUGUUGCUUUCUAUAUAGAAAGGAAAGAAAGAAUCAACAUGAUAUCCUCAAAGAAAGCUGUAUGUGGAAAAUUAUACUUCUAUUUUCAACCAAAAAGAAGUAUUUCCUUUAGCCAUAUAACCUAAAGAAUUCAAACUUGUUGUUGUAGUUGGGAAUGACAUUACCUCUUUGGAGUCCUUGCAAUUUGAAUUAGCCACAAUUGAAGCUGCAACAAACAGAUUUGGUGUAGAAAACAGGAUAGGGAAAGGUGGAUUUGGAGAAGUCUACAAAGUAAAUAUAUCAACUAGUACUACAUUAAAUGAUAAUAUCAAUAAUACUUCUUUUCCAUGUUGACUUCUUCUGUAUGCUAUUCAGGGAAUUCUCUCAGAUGGACAAGAAAUUGCUGUGAAGAGGCUUACAAGAAGCUCCGGGCAAGGUGCAGAAGAGUUUAAAAAUGAGGUUCAAGUUAUAGCUAAGCUUCAACACAGAAAUCUAGUGAGGUUACUAGGAUUUUGUUUGGAAGAUGAAGAGAAGAUACUUAUCUAUGAGUAUGUGCCAAACAAGAGUCUAGAUUACUUUUUAUUUGGUAUGUUGUUUCUAAACUUAUAAAUUCUAAAUUUCAGCUAGAGGCAUGUCUGGGUAAAUGAAUAACCUUUUAUGGAUCCAUUCUGAUUCGAACUGGAUAACUGACCAUCCAAAUAAACUAAUAUUGUAGAUCCCCAUAAGCGAAAACUGUUAUCUUGGUCUCAACGCCAGAAGAUCAUCAAAGGAGUUGCCCGUGGAAUUAUUUAUCUACAUGAAGAUUCUCGCCUCAAAAUAAUACACCGUGAUCUGAAACCUAGUAAUGUCUUGUUAGAUAGUAAUAUGAACCCAAAAAUAUCAGAUUUUGGCAUGGCUAGAAUCGUGUCUGGAGAUCAAAAUGAAGAAAGUACUUGCAGGAUUGUAGGGACGUAGUAAGUUUAUUAUUUUUGCUCAACUUCAUUUGCUUUUUCACAUGCCUUGUUUUACCAAGCAAUCGUUGUCAAUUUGUCAUUGAUGAUCACUAAACAAAAUUUCUCCUUUUUCAUAUACAGUGGUUAUAUUUCUCCAGAAUAUGCAAUGCAUGGAUACUUUUCUGCGAAAUCAGAUGUGUUUAGUUUUGGAAUCAUGGUUCUAGAGAUUAUCAGUGGAAAGAGGAAAGGUUGUUCUACUGACUCAGAGUGCGUUGAUGACAUCCGAAGAUACGUGAGUACAAAAUUUCUUAGACCUCUGUUUAUAUAGUUGAAAGAAUGAUUUUCUUCAUUAACAAAUUAAUAUUUUAGGCUUGGAUAAAAUGGGCAGAGCAAACGCCUCUUGAACUAUUGGAUCCUAAUAUAGAAGGAACUUAUUCCCAUGAAGAAGUAAUCAAGUACGUCCACAUUGGCUUGUUAUGUGUUCAAGAAGAUCCAAAUGAAAGACCUACAAUGGCAACAAUUGCAUUCUACCUCAACAGCCCUUCAAUCAACCUGCCACCACCUCUUGAACCGCCAUAUUUUAGGCGUAGUAGAAUUGAAGAAAACACAACCCUCAGCAAGGAAUUGGGCAAUACCAGUGAUUCCACCAAUGGAAUCACUAUGACUACAUUCUUUCCUCGUUAAGGCAUGGGUGAAAACAGUUUUUGCUGUAUCAAUAUUAUUAUCUACAUUCUACUGUUACAUAAUGAUUAUAGACCACAUACUUGAACCAUAUGAAAUACAAUUUGAAUAAAUCAUUCAAGAGUUUGAAAACAAUGUUAAGUUAUAAAGUAUACUUACUAGAGUAUAUUUACAUCUUCAAAGAACGUUUGAAUACGGAUAAUUAUAUUCCUGGGCUCUAAGUAAAUCUACCAUAAAUUAAGAACAUCGGAAAUAGAAAAAGAAAAGGCAUUAAGCAAAAUGUGUGUGCAUAUUUUACGUAGACAUUUUAUCAAACAGUUGUGGGGUGUCAAGUAUGGUCAGCAAAAAGAAACAAGACUAAUGAUGUCGGCAUAUAUUAUGGAUUAUCUUGGUGUUAGAAUUUAUGAUUGAGAAAUCACCUUGGCGCAAUUCGUAAAGUGAAGACCACGUGAAUGAUGGAUGAUUGAAGAGUGAGAGAUGAAUCAGCAAGAUAUGUCUAUGCAAAUUAAACCUCGAAGUUCUUCUAGGUAAAUUGAGUCUCGCUCUUUGCACUCCAAUUGCAUAAAGAGGGAAAAUUU
This 7481-nucleotide long non-coding RNA is filed under the name Cicer arietinum (chickpea). RNAcentral's name for it is "long non-coding RNA (CARI_LNC001066)". Lineage: Eukaryota; Viridiplantae; Streptophyta; Magnoliopsida; Fabales; Fabaceae. The record is from RNAcentral.